CUCCCAUCCGCGUCCCCUUCCCCACCCCCACUCCCAGAUCGUGCCGCGCGCCGCCCCUGACAUCCGUGGGAACCCCACCCCGCCACCGACGAGGCCCGACCCACCAGGGGCCCAGCCAAGAUGGUGCUCGCGUAGCUGGGUUGGUUGGGCAUGAGAAUCUAGAAGACUGACUGUCGGGGCACUACGGGAAGCGGCCAGUGAAGAUGACGAGGACAAGGACGGCCACGACGAGGAGGGCGGCGAAGGGCGUGCCGACCCUGCGGCGCCAGAUGCCGCCCAGCUCAUGAGGCCCCAGCCAAGCUCGGCGUGCCCUCCUGCUCAAGCUGCUCCAGCCACUAGCUGCGCCUGCCCGCUUUGGCAUCCCGCGCCCGCCGCCCCUAGGUCCUUCACCAGCGUGGCUUGCCGCAGCUCAUACACCGCCUCCUCGUUCGUCGUCCCCGUCACCACCAGGCUCGGCCUCGGCGCCGCGCCGCCCCUCGACCUCCAUGCCACGGCGGGGAGCAGGCCACCGCCCAUGUGUACUUCAGACGUCGCAUCCACCACCUCCUUCGCCAGAUCGAAAGCAGGUGCACGCGGAUCCAGCUCCUCCAUCGCCAUAAGGUCGUCUCUUGCGCGCGGAUCCACUCGUCUGAUCCUGUGGUGGCUGCAGAUUUCGGGCGGAGAGGGAGGUGGCGCUGCAGGCGUGUGAUGCUGCGGACUGGGUCUACAAGGGAGAGGGCGCGGCGAAUCUCAUCCUCUGCUACACCGACUCCUCGCCCUCCAUGGUACUGCGGGCCAAGAAGGUCCUAAAUGACAAGGCACAACCAGCACCAAACUGUGUAAACUUCUCAAGCUACGAGCAGCUCGUGUGGGGUGACAUCCCAGAACUACAAUGAGCCAUGGGCAAGGGACAGACUUGCAUCGACAUCGUGGUCAUUGGCGAAUCGGUAGUAUUGCUGUAUCGGUAGUAUUGCUGUACCGGUAGUAUUGCUGUACAAGUUUACUGUAGUAUUUUGAUGAUUGCCUUCAUUCAUGUUUCAACGUGAGCUCUAGGUCGAAGUUGCAAGAAGCAAGGAUUCAGGAUCUAGGCAUGCAUGCAUGCUCUCUUAGCCCUGCUUCUGCUCCUUAGGAGAUGUGAAUUUUUGGGAUUUUUGAUGUACUCCUAGCAUUUAUCUUUUCUCUUAUCUCUUUGUUGUUUUGCUAGAACCGUAAAUCCUGAUGCAUGAUGAUCAUGGUUUGUUUUUGUAGAUCUGUUAUGAUGGCGCUUAAAAUUUUACAUGCCUGGAUUCUGAUUGAACUUGUUCUUGUAGGUCUUUUCACUUCUAUGAUCAGUUUAGUUAGAGUUGCACAUGUCAGAACACUAUAUACCAAUAACUCCCAGCUAGUGAGAAAUUUUUUGUCACUCCAUUAACACAUACUGGAGCUCUGGGUUGAAGAAGUUCGAAGAAGGGAACACUUCAUCUUUGUAGCUAGUUUUAUGUUCCUGGGUGUUUACUUCAUAGAUGUUCCUGGGUGUUCCUGGGUGUUUGUUUACUUCAUAGAUGUUCCUGGAUGUUCCUGGGUGUUUGCACUUCCUGAGUGUUCUAAAUUCCUGGAUGAUGUGGACUACCGCAUGAUUGUAAUAUAUAUAAUAUACUCAUUUUGGACGUCAUUUGUGAAAAUUU
Molecule: long non-coding RNA, 1643 nt
Organism: Triticum dicoccoides
Lineage: Eukaryota; Viridiplantae; Streptophyta; Magnoliopsida; Poales; Poaceae
Exons: 5
Source: RefSeq, a predicted model, not a curated record